Molecule: long non-coding RNA, 2130 nt
Filed under: Panax ginseng (ginseng)
Lineage: Eukaryota; Viridiplantae; Streptophyta; Magnoliopsida; Apiales; Araliaceae
Description: long non-coding RNA (PGIN_LNC014616)
Source: RNAcentral
UUCAACUUCUGGUAUGUUGCUGAAAGGAAGAUGAAAAGCAUCCAAGAGGAAGACGUAUAAUCGAUUCAAAGUUAGUACUAAUCUGCCUUAUUAUUUUUCCAGUUUUGUUUUGCCCUAAUUUCCCCACCCACUUCUUGCAUUCUUUGAAACUUACCGUCUCCUACAUAAACAUAAACACAUAAUUGGUUCGAUUUUUCAAUAUUUAUGGAGUAUUUGCAUUCCACUUUGACAUUUUUGACUCUGCCACCUCCAUUCAAAGUUACCCCUCUCCUAUUAGCUCGAUAUAUAUAUAUAUAUAUGUAUGUAAGUUUAUAUGUAAAUAUAGUAGCCAGAUAGCUUGAAUUGUAGGCAAAAAAUUAUUGUGGUAUCUAUAUUUGUGUUCUUGUAAAAUAUUCAACAAUAUAAAGUUUGAAUUUACAUGUUUGAACAGGAAAAUUGUGAAAAUUAAUAGUUUGACUAGUUAAUGAAACAGGUAUAAUCCCUUUUAUUUACCCCAAAAAGUUGAACGAACUAUAGAAUGACUGAUGUGUGCAAUGAAGUCAUGAUCAUAAAAACAAGAAAAACAAUCGGCCAUCAUCGGUACUAUACAACAUUUUAAAAAAAAAAUCUUGGUAAAAAUUGAGAAGUAUAUUUACGGAAAGAUAGUGUUACAGUAAGAAGGUCAUUUGAAUCUUUGUUGUGUUCAUUUUAUCAUUUAUAUAAUCUAAAUUUGAUAGUUAAACAUAAAGGAUUCAAUUUAUACAAUCCCUGAGUUUAUAAGUAAUCAUUUGAAACACUACCAAGAAUAAUAUGAAAUGCAGAAUCUUACAGUAAUCAAGCUAAUAAAAAAAAAGGUUGUAAUGAACAAGUUGUUAGAGAGGUGUUCCUUGAUGCUUUGACCAGGCUUUACGUGUUAUUCAAUAGUCCAUGUUUAUAGUUAAAUGUAAAUCUGUCAAUCAAGUUAAAGAUUUGAAUAUUAUGGAACACAAUAGAUUUGAUAAAUAGAAUAUCUGAAACUGAGUUUCUCAUGAAGACUAAAUACACUACGUAUAUGAUCUCUAUUUGAGUUUGGAGCUUGUAAUGUGUGUCUUUAAGUAUCACUAUGGUUUUUGUUACUUUGAAUAGGAAUACUUUGUUGGAGUGCAGAAAUUGAAUUUGUGCAUGUGGGUGAGGUAGACUACACAAGUACUUUAUGUUCCUCACAUUAUUUGUUUGAUGUUUCCAUUCAUGUACUUUUAUUUAUUUUUAUUAUAUUUUCUUCUUGAAUGCUAUGUAAGAGAUUCUCUUAUUGUUUUCUCAUUUUUGUUGAUAUGUUACAUACUUGGCCUAUGAUUUUUUAUCUAAUUUUUUUAUUCUCAAACACUUCCACAGUCAAUGAUAGUUGGGCUAUUGACAAUUUAAAGAUGGAUACAGUAAAAAUUGCGAUUUGGGAAAUGUGGAAUUUUUUUAUGAUGGUAGUAAUUCAUCAGGUAAGAACAAGACAACUACUACUACUGUUUGUUUUGUGCCUUUAUCUAGAUUCCAUGAAUAUAAAGCGUAAACGUCGUAGGGAAGAAUCUAGUAAGGAACAUUGCAUGUCCCAACAGAGAGUAAGAGAUGGAUUUGAAGGAGAUGGUCCUAUGCCAAAAGUCGAAGCACUAUCUCACAGUAAGGCUACUUCAAAACCGCUGAAGAAUACGUUUCCAUCUUAGCCAUUGAGAAAGUUGCGAAUACGGUCAAUGAUGGUAACAAGGAGAUAAUCAAUGCCUUCGCUAAUGCGACUGUAACAAUGUCAAAUGCCAUUUCAACUUCACAACAGUGUAUCCACUCACCAUCAGAAAUUUAUGCUGAAUUGAUUCAAAUGAAGCUUGAGCACCCCUUCCUUGAUGAAGCCUAUUUUUGGCUGGCGGAUAAUGAGAAGAUGGUCAAGUUACUUUUUGGGUUUCCACCUGAGAGGUGCAAAGAUGCUUUACAAAGUAUGAUGAAUUCGUCAAAGGGUUGUUGAUGGGUUUCUACUUGAGUUAGAAUUUCAUAUUUUUUGUUGUUUCCAUUUGGAAACGUAUAUAUGGGUUUUCACUCGAGUUAGGAUUUCCAUUCAAGUGAUGUUUUUUUGUUAUACGAAUGGGAAUUACAAUCUUGAAUUCUACUUUUUGUUAAAACAUGUAUACAUAC